Molecule: long non-coding RNA, 2625 nt
Organism: Gallus gallus (chicken)
Lineage: Eukaryota; Metazoa; Chordata; Aves; Galliformes; Phasianidae
Source: Ensembl
GUUCAAGUAGACGCUGGUGACAAGUGGCAUCCCCCAAGCAUCUGUCUUGGGACCAUUGCUCUUUAACAUUGUCUCGCUCCAAUUUAUAGGAGGGAGAAGAGGUUCUUUGAAAUAUGUAUGCCCGGUGUGAGAUUAAGAAACAACAGUUCACAUGUUGGUCCGACCAGUUUAUUACAAAUGUUAAUAAGGGAGAUGGGGAAAGGGGAGGACAGACACUAUUAAGGAUUGGGGUGAUGGGGAAGGGAAGGCGAGCGAUAGAAAAGAUAGAAAGAGGCAAGAAUUGCGUAAAGCAGGGAUAGUCACCACCAGGAUCCGGCAGCAGUCCCGUUGCACGACGUUCCGAUGGUCCGAGGCCGAAGGGCAGGAGCAGCGAGGCCGGUCUUGGGCAACGAGAGGGUGCAGGUACCGGGUGGGUCCAGGAAGAAGCAGCUGAGUAAGUCAGGGAGGAAGCAGCAGGUCUCAGGUAGCAGGCCCAGGGAAGUCCGUCAGCAAACGGUCCGUAGAGAAGGAUCUGAAGGCAGGAAGCUUGUGUCGUGGUGAGAGAUCAUGAGAGAUCAGCCUCUGUGUUGCGGUGAGAGAUCAGCCUCCAUGUUGCGGUGAGAGAUCAGUCUCCACAGAACCCCUCAAGUCUGUCGUGGUGAGAGAGAAGCCUCUACCUCGCCGUGGUUGUUGGACCCUCUUUCAUCCUCCAUUUUCUCCUGCCUAUGUGACAUUCCUGGGUGCUUGAGCAAGAGUCCUCGGCAUACCUCCUGAGAUGGCUCGAUCUUCCUCGAGAUAAGUCCACACAAAAAGACCGUUUCCCAGCCAUUAGCAGCAGCUUAUCUCUCUCUCAAUGCCCCUGGCCUUGUCCAUCUGUGCUCCUUAGAGGAUUUCACAAUCCUUAGCCAGGACCUGUCCAUCAGUGUCCUCAAGACAAAAGAUUUCUCUACAUUUGCCCAGGACUUGCCUGGACUUGUUCCUCAGCAAACUUUGAGUCAAAUGAUAUAAAAGAAUAAUCUCUUACAAACAUCUUUAUUAAUGACAUUGAUGACAGAAUUGAGUGUACCCUCAGCAAGUUUGCUGAUGACACCAAGCUAAGUGGUGCAGUCAACACAGUGGAAGAAAGGGAUGCCAUUCAGAGGGACCUUGACAGACUUGAAAGGUGGGCCCGGGUGAAUAUAAUGAGGUUCAACACAGCAAAGUGCAAGGUUUUGCGCUUGGGCUGGAGGAAUCCCAGUCAUCUAUACAAACUGGAAGGAUCAGUCCUUGAGAGUAGCCCUGCAGAGAAGGACCUGGGGAUCCUGAUGGAUGAAAACUUAAUAUGAGCCAGCAGUGUGUUCUUGCAGCUUGGAAAGCAAAUGGUAUCCUGGGCUCCAUCAUGAGAGGGGUGGACAGCAGGGAUGGGGAGGUGAUUAUCCCUCUUCACUCUGCUUUUGUGAGGCCUCAUCUGGAGUACUGUGUCCAGGUCUGGAGACCCCAGUACAAGAAAGACAGAGAUUGGAGAGGGUCCACAGGAGGGCCACUAAGACGAUUAGAGGCCUGGAGCACCUCCCCUAUGACGACAGGCUGAGGGAGCUGGGCUUGUUCAGCCUGGAGAAAAUAAGGCUGUGGGGUGACAUAAUUGCAGCCUUUCAGUACCUAAAGGGAGCCUAUAAACAGUAGGGGAGUCAACUCUUUGAAAGGGUAGAAAACAGCAGGACAAGGGGAAAUGGUUUUAAGUUGAGGGAGGGCAUAUUUAGGUUGGAUGUCAGGGAGCAGUUCUUUACUAUGAGAAUGGUAAGGUACUGGAACAGGCUGUGCAGAGAGGUUGUGGAUGCCCCAUCCCUGGAGGUGUUCAAGACCAAGUUGGAUGGGGCACUGGGCAGCCUGGUCAGGUAUUAAAUGUGGAAGUUGGUGGCCCUGCCUGUGGCAGGGGAGUUGGAGAUUCAUGAUCCUUGAGGUCCCUUUCAACCUGGGCCGUUCUGUGAUUCUGUGAAGAAAGCGUGGAGGAAGUAGGAACAAACAAAAUGUAGCUUAAAACCAAUUUAUCCCACCUACAAUUGUUUAAUACUUCACUUCUGGAGUUCUGUAUGUUUGUUUGUUUCUUGAUUUUUUGUUGUUGCUUCUGUAAAGAAUAUAUCUAAGUUAAACAUCACUGCAAAAACAACACAGCAGUAACUGCAGUGUUAUCUGUGUUCCCUCAGUGCACUAGGCAGAGGACUUUUAAUUUCAUACCUCAUUUACAACUUGCUGCACUGAUUCCACACAUUUCUUUAUCACAAGAAAAAAAAAAAGAAAAAAAAAAAAGAUUGCUAACAUUUUACCCCUGAUCUCAGAUUCUCUAGUUUUAGAUUUGCUGUUAGCUCUUUGCUUCACAAUCCACUACUGACUCUUCAGAAGGGCAGAAGGGCACUGAAUCAUCCAAAUGAGAUAUCAAAACAAUGCCCUUUAGAUCACCCCCAUACCUUUCUGGAAAAAUGCAGUAUCUUCUGAGAAAGUGAAAUAUAUUUAUCUCUGGUUCUAAAAAGCAUAAAUUCUUUGCCUAAAAAUGAUUAUUUGUUAUUGUUUAUAUUAUGUCUAUAAAUGUCUGGCAUGCAAAUGACUAGAUUUGUCACCUACUUGACAAAACAGGAAAAUCUAUUCAGACAUACUUGGAUAGAGCAAUGU